This 552-nucleotide ribosomal RNA is filed under the name uncultured eukaryote. RNAcentral's name for it is "SSU rRNA". It matches the Rfam family "Eukaryotic small subunit ribosomal RNA", at positions 21 to 570 of the family's 1831-position model. The record is from RNAcentral.
UGUAGUCAUAUGCUUGUCUCAAAGAUUAAGCCAUGCAUGUCUAAGUAUAAACAAAUUUGUACUGUGAAACUGCGAAUGGCUCAUUAAAUCAGUUAUAGUUUAUUUGAUGGUAUCUUGCUACAUGGAUAACUGUGGUAAUUCUAGAGCUAAUACAUGCAAUCAAGCCCCAACUUCUGGAAGGGGUGUAUUUAUUAGAUAAAAAACCAACGCGGUUCGCCGCUCCCUUGGUGAUUCAUAAUAACUUUUCGAAUCGCAUGGCCUUGCGCCGGCGAUGCUUCAUUCAAAUAUCUGCCCUAUCAACCUUCGAUGGUAGGAUAGAGGCCUACCAUGGUUUUAACGAGUAACGGGGAAUAAGGGUUCGAUUCCGGAGAGGGAGCCUGAGAAACGGCUACCACAUCCAAGGAAGGCAGCAGGCGCGCAAAUUACCCAAUCCCGACACGGGGAGGUAGUGACAAUAAAUAACAAUAUAGGGCUCUUUUGGGUCUUAUAAUUGGAAUGAGUGCAAUUUAAAUCCCUCAACGAGGAACAAUUGGAGGGCAAGUCUGGUAAUCG